Molecule: microRNA, 27 nt
Filed under: Acyrthosiphon pisum (pea aphid)
Lineage: Eukaryota; Metazoa; Arthropoda; Insecta; Hemiptera; Aphididae
Description: api-miR-1923
Source: miRBase by way of RNAcentral
AAUCGCGUACCGUUGCACAGUCGUGGC